This 243-nucleotide ribosomal RNA is filed under the name uncultured bacterium. RNAcentral describes it as "partial 16S ribosomal RNA". It matches the Rfam family "Bacterial small subunit ribosomal RNA", at positions 531 to 773 of the family's 1533-position model. The record is from RNAcentral.
GGGGCAAGCGUUAUCCGGAUUUACUGGGUGUAAAGGGAGCGUAGACGGCUGUGCAAGCCUGAUGUGAAAGCCCGGGGCUCAACCCCGGGACUGCAUUGGAAACUGUCGUGCUGGAGUGUCGGAGGGGCAAGUGGAAUUCCUAGUGUAGCGGUGAAAUGCGUAGAUAUUAGGAGGAACACCAGUGGCGAAGGCGGCUUGCUGGACGACAACUGACGCUGAGGCUCGAAAGCGUGGGGAGCAAAC